This is a long non-coding RNA of Uranotaenia lowii, 2179 nucleotides long. RefSeq lists it as uncharacterized. The transcript is spliced from 3 exons. NCBI's taxonomy places the organism in Eukaryota, Metazoa, Arthropoda, Insecta, Diptera, Culicidae. The record is from RefSeq and is a predicted model, not a curated record.
AGUAGUUUUUUUUUCAAUACAAUAAUUGUAUCACAAGUAUCUUUCGUGUCAUUUUUGUUAGUAUCUAGUAUUAUUUAUUAAUGAGAUAGUUCUAGUAUAUAAUUGAAUUGAAAACGAUUUCCACCAAUCAUUUAUUGAGAGUCGAACUUGAUAAGAACGCUGCAUUGGAGUUACAUUCUUGUUUAAUGAUAGUUGACCUUAUGUCAUAGCGUAACGGCCUGGAUUGAGAAUUUCCCGAGGUCGAGUUCGGGAUGUAUCUCCCGGGUCAUGUGGAAAAGAGAAAGCUAGAUAUGGGGCUGUAGGAGCAAAAACGAGCAACUAGAUCGUGCUCUCAAAACCCGAGCCUCCCCGAGGGUUCUCGUGGUAUGACGUAGUUCCGGGGAGCUAGGUCUGAUAGCGCUUUCCCUGAUCUGAGGGUUCACAGUCUUACAUUUAGCCCCAGUUUGCCCACGAGGUUGGUUGUGCGCGUUUUUGUUCGGGUUUCGUUAUUUCGUUUAAGCUAGAAAUAAGCCGUGUGUGUGUCAGGUUACCAAUUUUGUGUGCCUAAGAAAAUCAAGAGCGAUCGCCAAAAACAGCAGCAGGCCCCCUGCCACACACCACACCCCGAUACACCAGCCCGUUGGGCAUACCUUCUUCGCUGGAAAUCAAACCACCAGCUCGCCCGAUUCGUCAACAUAUCGGCAUCCGAAGAAGUCUGGGAGAUUCUGGUGGCACUGGAAGCUACAUCCGGUGUAAGCAACCCCGAUUACACCAGCAUACAUCCGGUCAAACCACUAUUACCAUCCACCACUCACCGAAUGAAAUCUGAGUUGCGAACAGCCAAUCAUCGUCGCCGUCGUCAGCGAGCCACAGCAGCAGCAGCAGAUACAACCAAGUAGGUGCUUUCCAGUAGGGGUUCAUCCAUAAAGGAUGACACCUUUCAUAUAACCAAUUGAUCGAUCAUAACCUUUUUUAAUCGGGACGGUUACAAUAAUCCGUUUCCCCGAAGUCAGGUUGCCGAGGCAUUUUGGUCCACCAUUCCAUCCUUUAUGACCGCCCCAACCUAGAAAAACUAAAUAUUCCCCGGGAAGAGCGAUGAAAACAAGAGCACGGAGAACUAGGUAGAGAAAAAGGCACACGGCUAGGUAUAGAGUAGGGUAGCUAGAGUAAUGAUCGUGUUAAUCGUUAAAUGUUAAUUUAUUACUCUUAAUUAAAAUGUAUCCCCUCACCAUCUACAUUCGCCCUUUGAUUACGUUAAUACACUAAAUCCAAAUCCUAGCCAGAAUUUUUAAAUUGAAGAGAAAUGACAACUUCACUUUCGGUCGUUAGUCCAUUCGUCAGCUCGCUCUGCGCUUGGCGCAUUUGAAUUCGAGUCCACCACGCUUCCAGGCUUGGGGAGUUAUUCUGGGAAUGAACGUUUGACUGUCCAAUGAUGAGUGUUUCGGGCAUGGGUGCCGUCGAAGAAUCGUGAGUCCUUGGUCGGCUUGAGGCGUUGUGGUCACGUGUCGAUGUUGACAGACGUUCGUUGCGUUAGGCGAAAGUCUGAGUUUGGUCGUUUCGAAAUCCUCGUAGUCUUCGCUGUUCUCUGCCUUCCCUUGUUUUGGGGAGCAAUGCAAAACGACUCGUUCAAAGGAGUCUCAUCCGGGCAAAAACCAGCUGUGCGGUCUCCCUUCAGGAGUGGCGCUUUUUAAGCCGCACGGAAAAUCCAACAGUCAGAGCAGCACCGACUACAUAUUGGCGCCCAAUGUAAAAUAGAAAAAUGCCAUAUGCAUCUACAUAUUGCAAAAAGUUCAAAUCCUAACAUUCGAAUAUUAAUUGUCGUCCAUCGUUUCAGUUCGAGUUCAUAAAUAUGAAAAAUUAAUGAGUAGUAUUAUUUGGAUAAUUCGUUUAAAUUAUUUGUAGUAAAUCGUCCAUCAUGUACAAAGGUACCGUUUGUAAUUACGUGGGAGAAAGUUUCGUUACGACUGUGUUAUAAACCAACAUGUUAAGUAAUUUCAUCGUGUGAACAUUGUUCACAGAAAAUUUGAGUAGACCAAGUCUACAGUAAUCGAGCGGAAAAUUCGCAGUAUAGUAGUUUUGUGAUAUUUGAAACCAAAGAACUGUUUGUUUCAGAUUUAUAUUUAUUGUUGCGUUAACUCGGUGGAAUUAUCGAUUAACUGUGAUAUAUCUGUUAAUUUAUUUAUUAUUAUACUAGCUUUAG